UGUGCCAGCUUUGCUUGACUAAUAAUGGGUUUUUCUCUGUCCAUAGGGAAAGCACAUGACAAGAGCAUGAGCUACACUUCACUUCACUUUUUUUGAGGUUAAUAAGUUGCUUGAUCCAAAGCUAUAUUACAGAAGAACUUCCUGACUCUGAUGAAAGCUCUUGGAAAAUCCUCAAAUAAUAUUUUAUGCAGAAAUAUAACCAAAAAGGAAGGCAAAUUCAUAUAUAGGAAAAUAACCAGUGCCCUCCUCACGUUACAUGAGGUCUACUAGUAUCACCCGACACCAGCUGUUAGUCUGGGCCCUGAUGUGUGGCGCAAUGUUAGGGGUUCAAGAGACGUUAUUCUUCUUGACAAAAUAGGUGUUCAGAAGAGCCAGUAGCCCUGUAUGUCUCAGUUAGUUGAAACUCAUAUUAUUGAGUCCCCACAGGGACCUCCAUAACCUUGGUUCAGGAGACACCUUGGAAACCUGGGAAAGGUGAUUGACUGAAGUCCAUCUGUUGAAUCAUCCUCAUUAUUAAAAGCCUCCUACUCAUUAACGGCAUUUCGAUUAAUAUUCACUUGGAAAGCAUGUUUUUAUUUUGGCUCAUUUUUGAAACGUCUAGUCAUAGUUCUUUCUGAAUCACUUUGUCUGAAAUCAUCCUGUUGCAUUUCUUUUAAGGGCUGAUGAUCUGUCAAAAGCAACAGCCAAUAUUAUUACAUUGCUGUUCUCUUUGCAAUGUUAUCAUCAGAUGUAAUCCUUGCAGGUUAACCACUGUUACGAAUUUUACAUUUCCAGGGAUUUCUUGACAAUGGCACUGAUGUGACGCCAUCCAGCAUCUAUUUGUGAGAACUCUAUUUGACAAAUCAUCACUGUGGGUGUGAACAUAAUGGAGACUUUCAUAGGAUGCUAUGGUUAAUAUUCAACUUUAGUCAAAAUUUACUCUAGUCCUACCCUUGGAGCUCUACUGGGUUCGAAAAAUAUUUUAGAUAAGGACAAUCAUUUCAUAGAGUUUUAAAAAUAAAGGCUAAAAGAAAUUUUCUGUAGCAACAGUAUGAACUAUAUGUAGCCAGCAUACCCUUUUUUAAUGGAAUAUAACAAAAAUUAUUUAAAUGUAUUUAAUUUAAAUAAUUGUAUAAAUAU
This 1119-nucleotide long non-coding RNA is filed under the name Homo sapiens (human). Its description in RNAcentral is "long non-coding RNA NONHSAT242299". Lineage: Eukaryota; Metazoa; Chordata; Mammalia; Primates; Hominidae. The record is from RNAcentral.